RNAcentral lists this long non-coding RNA (802 nucleotides) under Anser brachyrhynchus (Pink-footed goose). RNAcentral describes it as "lncRNA (ENSABRG00000003754.1)". Lineage: Eukaryota; Metazoa; Chordata; Aves; Anseriformes; Anatidae. The record is from RNAcentral.
CCUUGCACCUGUCUUGGUGUGACAAACUUCAGGCCAUAAAUUGAUAGCCCGGGCCGCUGCUGCUCUGCUUGCUUCUUGCCAUAUAUAACUGGGGAGCCGGUUGUGUGUUGGGUGGCCCAGCUGCCCCGCCAGCAAAUCCCACUGGUGUUUCCAAGCGGCCCUGGCUGCUGCUAAUAACCUCUCCUAGCGAAAGCUGCCACAUCACUCUUGUCCUUUGGAUACUGUUUUUAGUUCGGUCGGAAGGAGGCUUGCUGGCUUUUUCCAAAACCGAUCCUAUCUUUACCACCCCUACCUAGCAACAGUGUCGGGGAUCUCAGAGCUCAGGCCCGGCGCUGGCUGGACGUGCGCGCUGCCCGCGGGCCUCGGCCUUCUCACCUGCACGUCCCAGCUCCGGUAACUUCGGCGUCGAGGCUCCUGCGAGGCUGCUCGGUGGUGCUGAAGAGUGGCUGAGUGGAAUUUAAUAUUUCAGUGGACGAGAAUUUUAUACGAGGAAUAAGCGAGCCAAGUCAAAAUAUAGAGAGCAGGCAUAGGGUAACAGUGCCCUGAGAUGUCAGAUGUGAUAAAAUGAUUCUAUGAAGCCUGGAAUCUGGAGGCAGAGAAAGGCAGAUCUCAGUUGUGGGAGCAGCUGCCACAGGGAUGCACUGAGAAUGGAGAAUAUCCAGUUUCCCCAGGAGGGAAAUGGUGCGGCACUAAACGUGAUUUGAGAGUCCCUUGAAAUCUGUGUUUAGGAUCGUCAUGCUCCUAGCACUCCUAAAACAGUACCUAAAAAUGUGAGUGCAAAUAAAGGUCAAAUUUGUCUUCA